UUGUAGAAAUGUGCUAACAAGGCUUCUGGCCUUGAGCUGGGCUUCACAGAGAUGUCUACAUUUUUUAAGAUGAGAAGAAGAUAUUAAUUGGGCUCCAUGGUAACAGCUGGCAGGGGAAGAAAGAAAGGGGAGAAGAAGCUCUCCCCUUCUCAGGUGUUGUCCUUGAAGUAUUUAACUUGCCUAAAACAGUGAAGGAAAAAGCUGCUUUUGUGUGAAUUUCUGCAGACUGUGAACUUCUGAGCCUCUCCCCUUACAUGUUGGGUAUAAAACUCUGAAACUUCCUGAACUUGGGGUUCAGGGGAUUGAUUGAUUACAGCAAAGGCUGUACCCUCUGAACCUGGCUGCAGCCAAAUAAAACUGUUUCCUGCUACCUUCGGUGCCUUGCCUCAUUUGUCCCCACAACAUUUUUGGCGACCCAGAUGGGACACGGGAGGUAAGGAAGGCUAUUCUGCCUCUCUUGUCUCCGGGGACAGGCUUCCCUGGGGCUGUAGGGGACAAAGUUCCCCUUGGCUGCCCAGGCCACUCUUAGCCUGAAGGAGGAUCCACUCACCCAGCACCUUGGGGCAGCCACCCCUGAGCACAACAGAACCCACAGGCAGCAGGAACCAGAAUUAGGGUUUUGGAGCACCGCCCAUCUGAACAGCUUUGGCUAAUCAAAUGUGAAAAUGUGGAAACAGAGGAUUCGGAGGGCCAAUGACAAACAAUGUAUGCGAAUUGAUAGAUGCCAGCAACACAGCAAGUGUGGGAAUAAAGAAAAACAGGCUGUUCAGAAUCUAAGUUUCUGAGCCUGGCCUCCAAUUUGUGAUCCUCUUGCCUCAGCCUCCCGAGUCACUGGGAUUACAGGGAGAACAACAGCCGAUUUGGAUUCUAGAGAGACUAACCAAAGUGAUUUCUACAGACCAAAAAGAAGAUGAUUUGACUCAAAUCCAUAACAGCUGAUAUCCAGAGCCCCAGCUUGGCUAUUCUUACAUCUGCGACAGUGAUUAACCAGGAUGCUUUUUUCAAUAUCUAUUUUAUUAUUGCCUUUUCCCACAUCAUAAAGUUCUAUUUUAUUUUUUGAGCUCAUACAGACCUAGGUUAAUGUUUUUAUGAUCAGUUUUAUUUUUUGACUGUGGAGUUUUAAACACUGCAAUGGAGAUUUCACCUGUGUAAAGCUACAAGGCCUUCACUAUUGUCUUAUGUGUUGCACGUUUGUGUGCACACUUGUGUUUUGUGUUGUAUGUCUGUAUGUGCGUAUGUCCAUAUAUCAUAUAUGAGGAGCGCUAAUGAAAAAAUGGAUCCGAAUUUUUUUUAAUUCACGUGAUUUUAAUGGUUUAAUUUAAAUUGGGUAAACAGCUGUUGAGGAUUGUUUUAAUAUGUGAACAAAUAAGGAGGUUAACAGAUCUGUUUGUUUACUUUCACCUUUCCUUUUCAUUAUAUUUAAUAAUUCUGUUCAGGAUAAUGUAAAUUGUUCAGAAAAUUGUUUUCUUAGUACCUGUUGGAAUGUUACAUAAUUUUUUUUAGCAUCAUUGCCAGAAUUCCUAUCUUCAUCCCAGUGCCAGUGAAGACAAAGAUAAAACCAAACUACAGCUUCUUCGAUAGUUAUCACAACAAACUGUAUAAACUGAUGCAUCAAUGAAUAAUAACUCAACAAGUAAUGCUCAAUCAAGGAGUCGAUUUACUUUGGGAGGAAAUGGACAUAUUGAUAGAUUCCUCUGCUUUGAACUGCUCACAGAACUUGCCUGGACUACAUAUCACUUGUAUGCAUUGUGAACUAUCUGUUGGUGCAGCGAAUUGUGGUAGUGCUGGCGUAUCUUUGCUGAUGGUGUCACUGGUGGUACAAUUUUUCCAAAGGAGCCGUCAAUUGGCUUGAUGUCGUGGCAUUUCUGUAUCCUCCUCCCUUCUGCUAGUGAUGGUCUAAAUUUUGGGGACCAACAGAGGUGAGGCAAAGAACCUCAACCCCCCCCACUGGCAUAAGGCCAAAUUUGGGGGCCAACAGAGGUGAGGCAAAGAACCUCACCCCCCCACUGGUGCAAAGGCCUAUCCACAAGUAUGGCUGUAUGCUGGACUGGUAGUCAGUGAUGGGUAUGAUCCAAUUGCAGUGGUACCAACCUAAGACAGGAGGCUGACGCCUAGAGGUCAGCUCAUCCGAUGACGGGUAAGGACAAUAUGUUGUAUUGGACAACCUAACAGGCAUGGUCCCUAGCCACAUUGCUUGUUGUUUAAUUAAACAGAAGGGGGGAGAUACUGAGAGCCACAGCCGAGUGGGAAUGGCCCCUGGCAUUUUGCCAACAGUAUUGGUUGACAGGCGAGGCAUUACUAUCCGCCUCAGCCGCUACUUUGGAGUUCUCACGCUACUUUGGAGUUCUCGUGGGGAUUCCCGGGGAUUCUCAGAGAGUUCCCAUUGGUUGGGGAAGUGCAGGAGGAGGGAUUUCCGGAGGAGAUAUUUCUGGUGGCUGGUUCCUGGACUAGCUGCAUGGGGUUCGGGAUAGUUCCC
Long non-coding RNA from Marmota monax (woodchuck), 2476 nucleotides. RefSeq lists it as uncharacterized. The record is from RefSeq and is a predicted model, not a curated record. NCBI's taxonomy places the organism in Eukaryota, Metazoa, Chordata, Mammalia, Rodentia, Sciuridae. The transcript has 5 exons.